AGGGUUUGAUCCUGGCUCAGAAUGAACGCUGGCGGCAUGGAUCAGGCAUGCAAGUCGAGCGAGAAAGUUUCCUUCGGGAGGCGAGUAAAGCGGCGCAAGGGUGAGUAACGCGUGAGUAAUCUGCCCCCGGCACCGGGAUAGCCCUGGGAAACCGGGAUUAAUACCGGACGGUGCUUCACGGCCGCAUGGCUGUGCAGCCGAAGAUUGAGUUCGGCCGGGGAUGAGCUCGCGGCCCAUUAGCUGGUCGGUGAGGUAACGGCUCACCGAGGCGAAGACGGGUAGCUGGUCUGAGAGGAUGGUCAGCCACACUGGGACUGAGACACUGCCCAGACUCCUACGGGAGGCUGCAGUCGAGAAUCUUCCGCAAUGGGCGCAAGCCUGACGGAGCGAUGCCGCGUGAGGGAUGACGGCCUUCGGGUUGUAAACCUCUGUCAGAGGGGACGAAGCAUGUGACGGUACCCUCAGAGGAAGCCACGGCUAACUACGUGCCAGCAGCCGCGGUAACACGUAGGUGGCGAGCGUUAUUCGGAUUUACUGGGCGUAAAGGGUCCGCAGGGGGUCUGUCAAGUCUGAUGUGAAACUCCGCAGCUCAACUGCGGACGUGCAUUGGAAACUGGCGGACUCGAGUACACGAUGGGAGAACGGAAUUCCUGGUGUAGCGGUGGAAUGCGUAGAUAUCAGGAAGAACACCGGCGGCGAAGGCGGUUCUCUGGCGUGUCACUGACCCUCAAGGACGAAAGCGUGGGUAGCGAACAGGAUUAGAUACCCUGGUAGUCCACGCCGUAAACGUUGUGCACUAGAUGUGGGGAGUACCUUAGGUCCUUUCCGUGUCCAAGUUAACGCGAUAAGUGCACCGCCUGGGGACUACGGCCGCAAGGCUAAAACUCAAAGGAAUUGACGGGGGCCCGCACAAGCGGUGGAGCAUGUGGCUUAAUUCGAGGCAACGCGAAGAACCUUACCCGGAUUUGACAUAUGUCUGCUCGUCCGUGAAAGCGGAUUUUCUCUUCGGAGACGGACAUACAGGUGCUGCAUGGCUGUCGUCAGCUCGUGCCGUGAGGUGUUCGGUUAAGUCCGGCAACGAGCGCAACCCGUGUCGUCAGUUGCCAUCAGGUAAUGCUGGGCACUCUGGCGAGACUGCCCGUGUCAAGCGGGAGGAAGGCGCGGACGACGUCAAGUCCGUAUGGCCCUUACAUCCGGGGCUGCACACGUGCUACAAUGGGCGGUACAGUGGGAAGCCACGUCGCGAGGCGCAGCGAAUCCCCAAAGCCGUCCUCAGUUCGGAUUGGAGUCUGCAAUUCGACUCCAUGAAGCUGGAAUCGCUAGUAAAGGCGCAUCAGCAACGGCGCCUUGAAUACGUUCCCGGGCCUUGUACACACCGCCCGUCACAUCAUGGAAGCCGGCUGCACCCGAAGUUCCCGCUCAGCGGGACCGAAGGUGUGUCCGGUGACUGGGAUGAAGUCGUAACAAGGUAACC
Molecule: ribosomal RNA, 1474 nt
Filed under: uncultured organism
Description: bacterial SSU rRNA
Rfam family: Bacterial small subunit ribosomal RNA
Source: RNAcentral